UACGUAGGGGGCAAGCGUUGUCCGGAUUUAUUGGGCGUAAAGAGCGUGUAGGCGGCCAAGCAGGUCCGCUGUGAAAACUCGAGGCUCAACCUCGAGACGUCGGUGGAAACCGUUUGGCUAGAGUCCGGAAGAGGAGAGUGGAAUUCCCGGUGUAGCGGUGAAAUGCGCAGAUAUCGGGAAGAACACCCGUGGCGAAGGCGGCUCUCUGGGACGGUACUGACGCUGAGACGCAAAAGCGUGGGGAGCGAACAGG
RNAcentral lists this ribosomal RNA (253 nucleotides) under uncultured bacterium. Its description in RNAcentral is "partial 16S ribosomal RNA". It matches the Rfam family "Bacterial small subunit ribosomal RNA", at positions 524 to 776 of the family's 1533-position model. The record is from RNAcentral.